CAGGCCUAACACAUGCAAGUCGAACGGCAGCACAGUAAGAGCUUGCUCUUACGGGUGGCGAGUGGCGGACGGGUGAGGAAUACAUCGGAAUCUACUUUUUCGUGGGGGAUAACGUAGGGAAACUUACGCUAAUACCGCAUACGACCUACGGGUGAAAGCAGGGGACCUUCGGGCCUUGCGCGAUUGAAUGAGCCGAUGUCGGAUUAGCUAGUUGGCGGGGUAAAGGCCCACCAAGGCGACGAUCCGUAGCUGGUCUGAGAGGAUGAUCAGCCACACUGGAACUGAGACACGGUCCAGACUCCUACGGGAGGCAGCAGUGGGGAAUAUUGGACAAUGGGCGCAAGCCUGAUCCAGCCAUACCGCGUGGGUGAAGAAGGCCUUCGGGUUGUAAAGCCCUUUUGUUGGGAAAGAAAUCCAGCCGGCUAAUACCUGGUUGGGAUGACGGUACCCAAAGAAUAAGCACCGGCUAACUUCGUGCCAGCAGCCGCGGUAAU
Molecule: ribosomal RNA, 494 nt
Filed under: uncultured bacterium
Lineage: Bacteria
Description: bacterial SSU rRNA
Rfam family: Bacterial small subunit ribosomal RNA
Source: RNAcentral